GGCUCCAUAGCUCAGUGGUUAGAGCACUGGUCUCAUAAACCAAGGGUCAUGCAUCUA
Molecule: transfer RNA, 57 nt
Filed under: Alligator mississippiensis (American alligator)
Lineage: Eukaryota; Metazoa; Chordata; Crocodylia; Alligatoridae
Rfam family: tRNA
About the family: Transfer RNA (tRNA) molecules are approximately 80 nucleotides in length. Their secondary structure includes four short double-helical elements and three loops (D, anti-codon, and T loops).
Source: Rfam by way of RNAcentral